AAAAAUCUAAAUUUUACCUGAAA
RNAcentral lists this small nuclear RNA (23 nucleotides) under Arabidopsis thaliana (thale cress). Its description in RNAcentral is "snRNA_04249". Lineage: Eukaryota; Viridiplantae; Streptophyta; Magnoliopsida; Brassicales; Brassicaceae. The record is from RNAcentral.